UACGUAGGGUGCAAGCGUUGUCCGGAAUUAUUGGGCGUAAAGAGCGUGUAGGCGGCCAUACAGGUCAGCUGUGAAAACUCGAGGCUCAACCUCGAGACGUCGGUUGAAACCGUAUGGCUAGAGUCCGGAAGAGGAGAGUGGAAUUCCCGGUGUAGCGGUGAAAUGCGCAGAUAUCGGGAAGAACACCUAUGGCGAAGGCAGCUCUCUGGGACGGUACUGACGCUGAGACGCGAAAGCGUGGGGAGCGAACAGG
RNAcentral lists this ribosomal RNA (253 nucleotides) under uncultured bacterium. RNAcentral's name for it is "partial 16S ribosomal RNA". It matches the Rfam family "Bacterial small subunit ribosomal RNA", at positions 524 to 776 of the family's 1533-position model. The record is from RNAcentral.